UAAUACGAAGGGGGCUAGCGUUGCUCGGAAUCACUGGGCGUAAAGCGCACGUAGGCGGCUUUCUAAGUCAGGGGUGAAAUCCUGGAGCUCAACUCCAGAACUGCCUUUGAUACUGGAGAGCUUGAGUCCGGGAGAGGUGAGUGGAACUCCGAGUGUAGAGGUGAAAUUCGUAGAUAUUCGGAAGAACACCAGUGGCGAAGGCGGCUCACUGGCCCGGUACUGACGCUGAUGUGCGAAAGCG
Molecule: ribosomal RNA, 241 nt
Filed under: uncultured bacterium
Lineage: Bacteria
Description: partial 16S ribosomal RNA
Rfam family: Bacterial small subunit ribosomal RNA
Source: RNAcentral